Cebus imitator (Panamanian white-faced capuchin) is the source of this 1297-nucleotide long non-coding RNA. RefSeq lists it as uncharacterized. The record is from RefSeq and is a predicted model, not a curated record. NCBI's taxonomy places the organism in Eukaryota, Metazoa, Chordata, Mammalia, Primates, Cebidae. The transcript has 3 exons.
CCGGGGACCGAGAGUCCUUGGCGGCCGGGGCUGCGACGGGGAAUUCGAGACUGUCCGAACUGGGCGAGGAGAAGGGCGGACCGGCAGAGGCGGGCAGAUCCGCAGGGAAACUGAUUUUUAUUAGCCUUUGGAGAAUCCCCUGCCGUGGACUACAGGACUGAAGGAGAACAGCUCAAAUUGGCGGUAUGGCCACCUUACUAAUUCAAGGCAAAGGGCUUGAGGCUCGAAGGGAAUAAAGAACUUCUGAAUCAACUGCUCCUGCCACAGGAGUUACACAACAACCAGGCUUGUGGAACAAGAGGAACUGCUACUGUCUUCUUUUUUCAUCUUACUACCUGGUCCGAUUCUACCUUGUUUUCCUGAAUUGUCACUGAGCUUUCUACACAAGUGAGGCUGAUGUUUGUAAAUCACAGAAAGACCAGUUUAUCUGUGGAGGAACCACAUAGAGAGUUAUUGUUAUUUUACACUACGUGAAGGCCAGAGGUAAGCAGGCCAGUACAGUAUCUUCAUGACUCCAUCAGGAACACAGGGGCUUCUGUCUGUUCCUUAGACACUCAUAGAAUAUGGAUUUUGUCCUCUUGCACUUUCCCUGAAGAUCUCAAGGUAUUUUCUCCACUUCCUUCCUUACCUCAGGAAGAGGUAGAAGGCAGAGGGCAGAAGUUGCAUGCCAGCUAACUGUCCUCAGAGAGAGGGGUGGGGGCGGCCCUGGCAGCCAGGAGCUGGCCUGGCACUAUCAAUGGGCCUUGUUGCUAGGAGCUGACCUGGCACUCAUGGCUAGGCCUUAGCAACUAAAGAGACAGUGCUAGAGAUACCAGAAUUAUAGUUAGGGUUUGAAGAAAAGGGGUGGAAAAAAACCUUUGACUAUUCACAAGUCGGACUAGAUUUGACUAACAGUGCACGGCCCAAGUGGACCUCUGUAAAUACAUUCAAAAAGUUACAUUAAUUCUCUGUCUAGAUUUAUGUAAAUAGUCUCAGAGAAGGCAAUCUGAGACAGCAAAUGGCAACUGUGAAAUACAGUUUUAUUUGCACACAGGAGAACCUAGUUUUGACAUUUUCUUAAACAACCAAGAUUUAUUCUUUAAAAAAUUAAAUAACACAAGUGAUACAUAAACACUUAUGUACUAUAAAACAGUCAAGUAUUAAAUAAUAUGAGCAUAUAGAGUGAACAUUACAGUUUCCUUUCCCGUCCUCCACAGUCUUUCCUUACAAGCAGGAACUAUUGCUAAAAUAUUAGUGCAUUUGGUAGAGAAUUUUCCACUUUACAGUUGCACUCAUAAUUUUAGUUUCUUGUGUGUGU